AAUUCAUAAUUUUCAAAAAUUAUUUAUAAUAAAUGAUCCUUUCGUACUAAAUUAUUAAAUAUUUUUAAAGAUAGAAACCAACCUGGCUUAAACCGGUUUGAACUCAGAUCAUGUAAAAUUUUAAUGAUCGAACAGAUCAAAACUUUAAACUUUUGCAUCUAAAUUUUAUUUUAAUCCAACAUCGAGGUCGCAAACUCUUUUUUUUAUAAGAACUAAAAAAAAAAAUUACGCUGUUAUCCCUAAGGUAACUUAAUCUUUUAAUCAAAAUUUAUGGAUCAUUUAUACAUAAAUCAAUGUUUAAAUUAUAAAAAAGUUAAAUAAGUUUUUUUAUCACCCCAACAAAAUUAAAAAUCAUAAUUAUAUAAAAAAUUUAUAAAAAAUAAAAUCAUAAUAUAUAAUAAAACUCUAUAGGGUCUUCUCGUCUUUUAAAUAAAUUUCAUCUUUUUAAAUGAAAAAUAAAAUUAUAAUUAUAUAAUAGAGACAGUUAAUAUCUCAUCCAAUCAUUCAUACAAGUCAUCAAUUAAAAGACUAUUGAUUAUGCUACCUUUGUACAGUCAAAAUACUGCAGCCCUUUAAUAUUAAAUCAGUGGGCAGAUUAAACUUUAUAUUAUUUAUCAAAAAGACAUGUUUUUGAUAAACAGGUGAAUAUUAAUAAUUAUUUGCCGAAUUCCUUAAAUAUAUAUAUAUAUAUAUAUAAAUUUUAUUUUUAAUAUUAUUAAUAUAAUAAUUUAACCAUUAUUAAUUAAAUUAAUUUAUUAAAUUAAAAAUUUUUAUAAAAAAUUAAACUUAUAUAAAAUCUUAUUUAAAUUAAAAUUAUUUAUAAUAAAAUAAAAUUAAUAAACAAUAUAAAUUUUAUAAAUUUUAAAUUAUAAAAAAUUAUUAUAAAAAUUUAUUUUAAAGAUUAUCCCUUAAAAUAUUAAAUAUUUUAAAUAUAAAUUUUUUAAUUAAAUAUUAAAUUAAAAUAAAUGAAUUAAAUUCAUUUCUAAAAAAACCAGAUAUAUUAAAAAACGACUAACAUUUCAUUUCAAAAUAGUUAUUUUAAAUAAUUUUUCAACAUUAAAUUAAUUAACUAAUUAAAUCUUUUUAAUUCGAAAAAAUUUUAUAAAAAAAAUUUUUUAGUCAACUCUGAUACACAAGAUACAUUAAAUUGAAAUUUCUUCCCCCCAAAAAAAAUUUCAAUUAUUUUAAUAAUCUUUUACAAUACCAAUAAACUAUAAAUAUUUAUAAUUAAUUU
This 1234-nucleotide ribosomal RNA is filed under the name Coptotriche turpinia. Its description in RNAcentral is "16S ribosomal RNA". The record is from RNAcentral. Lineage: Eukaryota; Metazoa; Arthropoda; Insecta; Lepidoptera; Tischeriidae.